This 253-nucleotide ribosomal RNA is filed under the name uncultured bacterium. RNAcentral describes it as "partial 16S ribosomal RNA". It matches the Rfam family "Archaeal small subunit ribosomal RNA", at positions 474 to 727 of the family's 1478-position model. The record is from RNAcentral.
UACCAGCACCCCGAGUGGUCGGGACGUUUAUUGGGCCUAAAGCAUCCGUAGCCGGUUCUACAAGUCUUCCGUUAAAUCCACCUGCUUAACAGAUGGGCUGCGGAAGAUACUAUGGAGCUAGGAGGCGGGAGAGGGAAGCGGUACUCGAUGGGUAGGGGUAAAAUCCGUUGAUCCAUUGAAGACCACCAGUGGCGAAGGCGGCUUGCCAGAACGCGCUCGACGGUGAGGGAUGAAAGCUGGGGGAGCAAACCGG